This is a non-coding RNA of Paramuricea clavata, 759 nucleotides long. The record is from the annotation of a GenBank genome assembly. NCBI's taxonomy places the organism in Eukaryota, Metazoa, Cnidaria, Anthozoa, Malacalcyonacea, Plexauridae.
AACUACAUAUUAUUUUCUCUUACUACAGGUAUUCUUUCCUAAAGUGGUAACAAUGUAUGUUUUGGGUGGCUUAGCUAUUACAAUUUAUGGCUUGAGGUUUCCUGAAUGUAUUUUCCCAGGUGAUGAAAUCUCUUAUAUGUUGCUCUUCAGGCUGCAAAAUCUUUCCAUUAAUUAUCAAAAUGUUUAUCUUACUGUAUCUGUAUUUAUUCGUUAAACUAACUUUAUGUAUGCUGGAUAGCUCUGUCAGUUCUAAACUGUUCUUCCUAGAGGUCCAGUAACGAUCAUCUCUUAUUGAUCCAGUGUUACUACAGGAGGAAACCUAAACUAAACUAACUUUAUUUAUACUGGAUAACUCUAUCAGUUCUGAACUGUUCUUCCUAGAGGUCCAGUAAGGAUCAUCUCUUAUUGAUCCAGUGUUACUACAGGAGGAAACCUAAACUAAACCAACUUUAUUUGUACUGGAUAGCUCUAUCAGUUCUAAACUGUUCUUCCUAGAGGUCCAGCAAGGAUCAUCUCUUAUUGAUCCAGUGUUACUACAGGAGGAAACCUAAACUAAACUAACUUUAUUUAUACUGGAUAGCUCUAUCAGUUCUAAACUGUUCUGCCAUUACCUUAUUCAUUCAUUCAUUCUCUUUCAGGUCGUCUAAACUACAUUGGAGCAAGUCAUCAAUGUUGGCACAUCAUUAUAGUUCUAGCAUUUUGUUGGUGGUACAAAGCCAGUGUACAGUUCUUUCAUUUCCGUCAACAGUAUGGAUGUAU